This 290-nucleotide unclassified non-coding RNA is filed under the name Hevea brasiliensis (rubber tree). The record is from RNAcentral. Lineage: Eukaryota; Viridiplantae; Streptophyta; Magnoliopsida; Malpighiales; Euphorbiaceae.
AUACAUACAAAUGUAUUAAUGUGAAAGCAAAAAGUCUUCUCUUCCCCAUUACUGCAUACCAAAUUUCUUCUCCCUUUAUAUUUCGAUCUCACCACUACUCGUCCUUCCUCCUAUAAGUAUCUCCCCCACUCUAUUCAUUUUUCUGUUUCUCUCUCCCAAAUCGCUACAUUGUAAACCAUAAUAUUAGGUAUUCGCCUCCACCGUCUCCAUGGCCUGCUCAGCCAAUGAGUUGGCCCAGCUACUCGGCCCCAACAUCACCAACUCCGCUGCUGCUGCUGACUUCAUCUGUU